Molecule: long non-coding RNA, 28277 nt
Filed under: Cucumis sativus (cucumber)
Lineage: Eukaryota; Viridiplantae; Streptophyta; Magnoliopsida; Cucurbitales; Cucurbitaceae
Description: long non-coding RNA (CSAT_LNC001729)
Source: RNAcentral
CCAGUGGAGCCAAUGCUGCAGAAGAAGAUGAAUCUGAGAAAUCAAUGUCUGAGGUGAAUGAUGAUGAGGAUGGAGAUGAGGGCAGCGAAGAGGUUAGCUUUCUUAAGGAGUUUAGUUAAAUUAAACAUCUUAAAGUUGGAACUGUUUUUUCAUUUCAUUUUUCCCCCUCCAAUUUUGCAGGACGAUGACGAGUGAAGAUGUAGAUGAUAGUAACGUCAUUUAGGGUGUCAGUGUAUUUGAUCUUUCCAUAAUAAUGGUUUGAUCAUUUCCUGUUAUUUUGUUUUUUAUAUCAUGAAAAUAUGUUAGUAUCUCCCUGUUAUUUUGUUUUUCAUAUCAUGAAAAUAUGUUAGUAUCUCCCUGUUAUUUUGUUUGUGCAUUCAGUAACGAAGGGUUGUAAUGGGAGAUCAUCUGCCUUGUACCUUACAAUGUUAGUUAUUCCAAUCCAACUGUGUUUUUUUAACUUUUUAACUGAGAUAACAAGAUCACUCCACACAUCAUGUGACAAUAUCAAAACCUUCACUUAUGUAUUACAUUUUCCAAUCAAGCUCAGUUGGGCACCCUUAACAGAGUUCUCUCUUUAAUUUCUCCAGUGGUUGUGUUUUUAUAUGUUUUUAGCCGUGUCCUCUUCAUGGUUAUUUGUAGGCCACUCUUUUAUGCAUCUCUGAGAUAGUUUCUUAUUUGUUUGCAGCAGCUUAUUAUGUCUCUGAAUUUAUGUUCAUUCUCUUAACUGAAGAGAAGGCAAUUAGUUGAUUAGUAGUUGGAAUGAGAGUGUCUUGCUGGCUUGGCUUGUAUGGUGUUUCUGGCUAGGAAGGGGUUUUGGAGAGGGAUAUUUCGGUAUAAUUUUUCCAUAUAUUUGUUAGUAGUUGGUGGUGGUGGGCUUUGUGUCUACAUCGUAUUGGUUCUUCACAUUUUGGCUGAUAGACUCGUUUAUACAACAUUGCUGGAAAUCAUAACUAAUAAGCCAUUAUAGAAUCAGAUACUCAAUUAUAUGAAACUCUUCCACCGUGCUAGAGCUGGGAAUAGAAGCCUUCUCAUAUGCUUCGAAAGUCCAAACAUCAACCAGUGUCUUUUGAAAAUAUUUGGGAUGAACUUUUUUUUUAAAAAAGUAUUGAAUGUUCUUGUAGGACAAUAUAAAAUUGAGAGUUUGCUUUUUAUUUAAGCCAACUUUUGUUGGUUGAUCACAGGUUUCAUGCUUAUAUCUAACCCAAUUGUUUAUUGUUAAAAACAAAAAGAGAUUAUUAAUCAAAUACCGAAUACCAUUAUCAAAUGACGUUCAAUUCAUUUUCAAGAAAUUUGAUGAUCUGUGUAUCCAAUGACUGGGUCACGAGUGUAGAAAGUACUUCUAUCAUACCUUUUAGGCAAAUCAGGGUUAGCCAAGAACAACCUUCCAAAAGCAACAAAAUUAGCACCACCAUUUCUAAUCACUUCCACUGCUUCCUUCUUGUAUCCACCAGCCACAAGGGUCCCUUUAAACGAUUUUCUCAUCCCCAAUAAGCUUCUUUCUUUCCCCUCCCUUUUCUCAAACCGAGUUACCAUCCUUGGCUUAAUCAAGAACUUGCCUAGAGCUUGGGGAUUGGAGUCACUGCAGCCGUAAUCUGCAAAUGGCGACAGCUGCUGAUCUUUUCACACAGCUUCCACAACUUCUAAACAAAAUCUUGCAGCGCUUUUCUAAGCUUCCUCCAUAUUGAUAUCAUCCCUUGUGUGGUUGACUUGUCUUUAAGAAACUAAUUGAUUAAGUACCCAUUGGCUCCAUUGAUCUCAACUCCAUCGAAAACCUAAAUAUACAAGGAUUAAACUUGUUAUAUCAAUUAGGAUGUUUUUCUUUCAUUUUGUUAUAAUAAUAAAGAAUCAAGUAGUACGGAUGAUUAAUUGGUCUGCUGUUAUUAGCUUCUAUGACAUUCAUGACUGCAACCUUGUAAUCCUUGACCACUUUGACUAAUCGCUUUCACCGUUGGUGACAAAGGAGGGGGAUAUUCCACUACCAUGCUCCCAGUUAUUUAAAGCAGUAUUUGUAACUCUAUAUUCUAUGUAGCUUUUAGGUAUCUUUUAGUUGUGUAAAAUUAAGCAUAUAAAUAAGUUUUCUAUCUCUAAAUUUCUUAUUUUGUUAUUUACUUUUCAUUAAUAUUUUAAACAAGAAUGAAGCCAGGUUAAUUUUGAAAAUGAAAGGGUAAUUAGAAGUAAGUUUUGGUUGUAACAGACGAAUAUUCAAGAGAAAAUUUGAUGGUCUUUUUUGGAUGGAAUAAUUCUUGUUAAUGCAAAAGAUAAUACCAUAAUAGUUAGAAGGAAGAAUCAUGGUCAUAAUAUUUUAAUUAUAAGUAUCCAGUCAGGAUUUAAGCACAAUAAUAAAAUAAAAAUAAUAAUAACAAUACUUUAGUACAUUUCAAAUUGCAAAUGAUAAUCAAUUUUUUUUAAAAAAAAUCAAGGGGUAAUAAUGAUAAAAAAAUUCAUUAUCCUCCCAAAUCUAGUACAGAAGUGAAUCUAACCUAAGUGCAUCUUGGACCAUCACACUCUCGAUCCGCCAUUGUAACAAAAAAAAAAAAAAAAAAAAUCCUCAUUGUAAACUCACGAUGAUAUGCACAAUAACAAAAUUUUCAAGUUAACUGGAGAACACUUCUAUAAUCUUUAAAAAAGUACUCUUGUUUUUUUUUUUUUUUUUGUCAAUAAUGGACUCUGAUUCAUAAUUAAACUUGAAAUAAUCAUCACAAAAAUGCAAAUGAAAUGAUUAGGUUCACUUUUCAUAUCACUUCCCAGAUUGAUGAUUGAUUAUGGUUAUAUUUAUUAAAGAUCAAAAAUAAUAUUCCAAGUGCUAAAAAAGAUAAGAAUAUUUUUUAAAAAUUUGCAAUAAAAUUUAGAAGGAAAAAAACAGAUAUGGUAUUGAGGUGAUCGUCAUAAAGUUAGGUACACGUACCCUUUUUUGUGGAAAUCCAAUUUCCCUUCUCCUGGUUUUCAGUAAUCGUCUACGGGCAGGUCUACGAUCGACUAGUUCAAAAGAGAGAGAGAGAGAGAGAGAGAGAGAGAGAGGAUAAUGGUUAUUUAAAUAAUAUGGUUACCACUAAGCCAAGCCAGUCCACACCUCCACCGUUAAAUGAUAAAUAUGGCAUUAACUUUACCCGAAAAGUUAUUUUGUUUCUUUGAUUUCAUUUUCCAGAAGAGGUUGAAUUCUCAGUCGGUGGCUUCUGCAGAAAAAAUGACCAAAAUUUUUAAUUUGUUGUCUAAAUCUAAACUAAACCCUAAGAAAUAAAAACAACGUUGCAUGGAAUUGGGAAUAUUCAAUAAAGGAAGUUUGACGACACCAAACCAAAGACGACCGUAGCUAUUGGUCCGUGGAUUCCACGCGCUUUACCUGCCAGUAGGGGAGGGUUAAUGUUAAAGAGGAAGACAUUGCCGUCGUGGCAAAGCAAGAGAAAAGACAAACAGACAAACGGAGAUAUUCUUCAUAAGACCCGCCGCGACCCGCGCAAUCAGUGUUAGAGUGCGCGUCUGACGUGGCAUUUUCUUUUUUAGGGUCCAAUUCAAUAAUUCUUGUUCUUCUUUGAGUGCUUUUCCCCCCCUUUUUUUUUUGGCUUUGCUUAGAGGAGAAAAAUGGAAAUGGCUAAAUGGGUUAGCUGAGAAUAGAGACGUAGAAACGAACCCAGAAGUUGCAGAAGCAGAGGGUGAUGGAGUGGCAGAAUCAGCAGCAACAGAAUCAAACAGAGCAAUUGCAAAUGCAGGUGGAGCAAUUGAGCAACGCCGAUGGAGUUGGUGGUCUCUACGUCAAGGUGAUGACCGAUGAGCAAAUGGAGCUUCUCAGGCAGCAGAUCUCUGUCUAUGCUUCCAUAUGUGAGCAGCUCGUGGAGAUGCACAAGGCAAUCACCGCCCAACAGGACCUUGCGGGUCUCUCUUUUCUUAUCUUUUUGCAUUACUCUUCUCAUUGAUAUUCUGUUUCAUCUCCAUUUGUUUGGACCUACAACAAUAGUUUUUUCUGUUAGAUCUACUUGUCGUAUAGGAAGUGAACUUUAAGACUAAAUCUGGGUUUUAGAAAGUAUCCUCCUCUAGUUCUGUUUCUGUUAAUUGAUUAAACUUUAAUAUUACCUGUUCCGUUUGCUGUAAACUAUAAUUGUAGGAAUAAGCGGGACCCUUGCUCUUUGUUUGUUUCAUCAUCAGAACCAUCUACUUAUCUUUCCUGUUUCUCAAUGCCUGGAGAAAUGGACUCCUUUGGAAAAUGAAUUUUGCUCCUUAAACAGCUUUUAUGCUUACUGGUUUCCAGGAAUGAGGCUUGGGAAUCUUUACUGUGAUCCAAUAAUGGCAUCUGCUGCUGGUCACAAGAUAACUGCUAGGCAGAGGUGGACGCCUACACCUGUACAGCUUCAAAUUCUUGAGCAGAUCUUUGAUGAGGGCAAUGGGACCCCUAGCAAGCAGAAGAUCAAGGAUAUAACUCUACAGCUGACACAACAUGGUCAAAUUUCAGAAGCAAACGUCUAUAAUUGGUUUCAAAAUAGAAGGGCUCGUUCAAAAAGAAAGCAAGCAAACUCAUUACCAAAUAAUGCAGACUCAGAACCAGAGACAGAAGUUGAUUCUCCAAAGGAGAAAAAGACUAAACCAGAAGCCUUCCAAACUUAUGAACAUUUGGUUCCGAAGUCCGGCAAUAUGUACUCCCAGAGAACUGAUUUAAGUACUGAAAUACUUUCCUUUGAUGCGCAGUCGAAUAAAGGGGAGCCCAUGUUUCAGUCUUUCGGAUCUGGUCAUACCAGUCAGAUGACUCCAAUACAAAAUCAUAGUAUGUCACUCUGUUUUUUCAAGAGCUAUACAUUUGAACAUUUCUUGAAUUUUCUUCAUCGGAAAUUUCCAUAAUGCAGCAAUUAUAUAUGAGUAUGCUCAAUCAAACAUAUAUCAUUUGUUGGUGUCUAAUUCAACUUGUCAAUGUGCAGGAAAUAAUAUGUCGAAUGAUAAAAUGAACGUACCAGACUACUCUCCAUACACUCCUUGUGAAGGAUAUCACUUGGUCGAGUGACUGCUUGCCUUGAAGCUCAUCCUGGAGGAAUGUGCGAACUGACACAGUACAUAUUACACUGCAUGUAUAAGGAAAUUAAAUUUUGAAAAUGCUUGUAAGGCAUUUUAUAUACGUGGUUAUGAACUAUAUAGCUUAUAGUACUGCUUGAAACCAAAUUUUGAAGGAUUUGAUUAAAUACGUUACGUUACGUUUUGGUACGAAAGUGUUGUUUUCCUGCAAUUUUCGUUAUUUGCUUGAUUCAGCUUGCAUGAUAAUUAAUUUUGCACCUGAGACGUAACAGACUGUCGACUCACCUAAUCCCUGCAAGUGGAUCAUAAACAAAAUGGUAAAAAUCAUAACUAAUGAAUUUACAACGGAAACCAACCUUGAAUUUGACUCCUCUCCCUGAGAAGUUUCAUCUCUAGUCCAAGUGCUGCACAAAAGAUGUAGAACUCAAAACAGACCUGUAGUUGCGUCUGAUGAAUUAACUAGCCAAAUGGCUAGAAAGUCGUACAUGUUGCAACUUGCAACUUCAUCCGGAAUAAUGAUCAAUAUUCAUGGCAAGUUUUAUUUUUUCUUGAAUGAUAAAAACAUUUACGAGAGACUAUGAAGUUAAACCCAUAACACUAAAUUCAGAAAAUUUCCACUUUGAGAUCAACAAUCAUACCCUCGAUAAGGCAUGGGAAUUGUCUAACAUUAUUACUAGAGGGGAUCUACAAUGCUGUCCUAUCCAAAACAGUGACAGCCUGACAAAACAAUCAUGCAGAAACUAUACAGAGGGCUUCACAACCCGGAAACAAAUGAUUAAGAUAAAUAUGUAGUCAACUUUACAACUGUAGUAUAAAUGGACAUAGAUUAAGAGGUUCUUUUGUCUAGACACACACAAAAGCUUCCACCUUAGCUGCAUUCUUUGAAUGGUGAAUUUGACCGAUAGAAAUUGCCAGAUCUCCCAUUAUAUCACCACGUAAACAUCCAGGCGAUCUUAUUAGCCUGGACUGCAGCCCAAAACAGUGGUUAAAUUAAGCCAAGCAGAAUGCCUCUAGAUGAGUACUUCAUGAAGAUCCUUUCCUUCUGACUUUCAAUUUAGUAGACCUCCAGCCGCCUGAGGUUAGCGGGCUAGGGGAGUAUGAAAAAUUUUCAAUGGGUUCCAUGACGGCAUACUUACUCUUCGCUGAGCUACUAACGGGUGAUACUUCCUGCAAUAAAAUUUUGGAAUCAUAGUCAGCCAUCGUACUGAUUUUAAUUCAUGCCGCAGUAACUAGUUAAUUAACUUUAAUUUCUCAUUAUAUCACAAUCGUUUACCUUGUUUAUUGAAGCCUUUCCUGUAUCAGCUUUGAGGUCUUGGAUCUCCAAACAAUCCACGAAAAACAUCACCUGCAAAAUGAGGAGACGAGAAAUGUAACCAAAAAAACUGUGGAUAAAACUGUCAUGAUAAAGUUUGAGAUGUUGAAACACAAAAAAUUCAUAGUCAUCUUCACAAAAUAUUAGAACUGAAUAACACGUACUUUAUUAAGUAAUGGAAUAUUCGAUGCAUCGGUUGCCAUGAUCUGUACACCAAUGCAAUUGUCACUGUAACAGAAGGGGCAAAAGACAUAAUUGUAUACACAACCAUCCUCCUCACUCCAUAUACCACGUCCUGAAUUUUUCGAAGACCUAACUAGGAGCCUCUGGUUAACAAACAAGAUGUCUGUAAUAAUAAGCUGUAUACUUGCUGACGAAUUGGCAGUUUGAGCUUUAAACCUUUCCUCAUAUAUUGAUAUUAAGUGUGUUUUUGAUGAUACCGUAAAUGAGCAUGUUAUGUUUAAAUGGUUCUCUGGGCGACCGAGUGGGCUUCUACAAAGUGCACAAGAUAGAUGCAACUUUUUGUCCAUUGGAAGGCCAGAAGACAGAUAAACAGGACUAGUAUCAUUUAGCUUGGGCAUUUGUGUGACAUUUAAACCGUUAGACUUCUUUUCCGUGAGAAGAAUUUCAUAAUUAGUAUCUUUUGGGCUAGUCAAAUUUCUGCUGAUUAUUGAGCUUCUGUCCACACUGUUACAUUCGGGAUUUUUGGUUUUGGGAUCAGUAAGAAACUCUUCUUGAGCAAGUUUCGUAAUAGUUAUACCCAUGGACUUCCUUCUUUUCUGGGUAUGAGAAUUUACACUCAUAUUCAAAGAAGAUUCUGUAUCUUGUGCAAAGCUGUAGGCAUUCACAGAAACAUUUCUUUCAGGAGUAUUCAGCAUUGAAGUUUCAGAUGUAAGAGGAGAUCUUGUUGAUUUGAUCAGAGGUAAUGACUGAUGUGAUAAUUGAUCAGAAAGCUCAGAAUAUGCCUCAAUUACAGUUGAAGUCGAUCUUUCAUCUUUGGAUUCUCUGGGACUAGUGGCGCCAACAAUAUCAACACAAGGAGUCUCCUGAACAAUUGGGGAAUCUGGAACUUCAAGAACGGUAUUCAUAGACAGAAACUCAUGGUUCCUGCAAUAUGCAGUUGUUCAAGACCAUUGCAAAUGAAAAAUGAAUACUGAUUGCUGAGUAGGGAGGUAAUAAGAACACCAAAUUAUAAAGGCAUGAUAACUAAUCAACCUUCUGACUACAGUUCCUGUACAAACGUUGUUAGUGUUAAAUCAAAUUAUGCACCAACAUGGAAAAGCUAAUGAAUUUUCAGCUCUUCGUAGGCCAUGCCAAAAAAACACUUUAGCAAAUGGAGUUCAUAUUUACCUCGUUUCUGUUUCAACACUGCACUCCAGAUCAAUUAUACAGUUUUUCACAUCUUCAUGAGCCUGAAAUAAAGCUUGUCAUCAAUAUCAACUAGAAAUUUCGAUUGAAAAGAACAGGUAUGAUACUUUAUCAUUUUAGUACUAACUUUCUGCCCACGAUGAUUAAACUUGUCGAAUUUCCCUAUCUUCAUUCUUCUACGACUACUUGGGCAGGUAGAAGUAAUAUGCUCCUCAUUCUCAGAAUUUGGCAACUCACUUUCUUUAUUGUUGCUAAUCCGCUCCUAAAAUGAAACCCAACAAUAAUGUACCGUGAUUUAUUGCCUGACCAUAAGUAUGUAAAGGAAGAAAUUAACACAGAAGAAGCAAGGACAAUAUGUUCCAGACCUUAAUGUGGCUGAAAAAGGAUUUCAGCUCCUCCAUAGACUGUUCAAAGUUAUCAAAUUGUUUAAUGGAUUUUCUUAGCCACUUAGAAAUGUAAGUCCUGUUCCUCUCUUCCUGGAAACGCUCAUCUAUUUGCCCAAAAUAAAAGAAAGGGUGAAGAGCUAUGGGAGAUUUGUGUUAAGAAAUGAGUCUACAGUGGAAAGUACUCUUUUAAGAAAUAACAAGGAAAUUUUAGAUUUAUCAACAUGAAUAUAAGAAAUACAAUAUUGAAACCAUAGAACUAGUUAAAAUGUUACGGCCAAGGAAUGACAGUGAUAGACCCCCGAUAUUAUAUCAGUAAAGUAGGAGAGAGAAAGAAGUAACACGUGUGUGUAACACGUGAGGGAUAAAAUGAGGUUUAGAAGUUAGUAUAAAUAAAGGCCAAUAGAGGGGCGGGAAAGUUAGUUAAGAUUUGAGUAAGGAGAGAGACUUUCACUGUUCUUCCUUGAAAGAGAGGUUAACAAUAGAAGUGAGGAGAGACUGUAAUCAGAUUCUAUUUCCAUUCACUAUCAAUAAUAUUACAUUCAUAUUACUACCUAUGAUUUCCAUCAGGCAGCUUCCAAGCAAGUUUUGGAGGUCUUGUGUUCGAGUUAAAUGGCUUGAUUUCUUCCUCUAACCAGCACAAACAAUCAUGCAUACAGCCUGACCAGUGAAGCUCGUAUUUUUAAUAGACAAUAGAAGAAGUGAAAUUAAAGAAUUAUUACCUAAUAGCAUAAUGGCACCAUAGUCAAAUUUGUGUCGAAUACAACGUCCUACAGAAAGAAAUUGUUACAAAUUAUAGCAAGGUUAUUUGCAUGAUGCCACUCCACAUGAGCACCAAGAAAAUGAAAAUAAAUAACAGCUACAAGCUAUACCUGCAGCUUGAUUUAGAGCUCGAAAGGCCUGUUGACAAUACCACUCGUUUCCACUUAAAAGGUUUUUGGACAUUUUAUAUGCGUCAUUGAACUUUUUCUUCAAUGCAACUUGAAUAUCAUUUCUGAAAGGAAUUAUAAACAAAUAAUCAAAAUAUUGUAUGGUAUAUUUUCUUUCCAAAAAAAAUAAGUUAAGGAUAAAGUUCUUACACAUUUGGAAAUGGAAUACCAACUAUUAUCUGAAUAUGUUAGUUAAGAAUUUCUAUAAAUAUAAAUAAAAAGCAAAUGUUCAACUUCACUGACACUGACUUCAUGACUUACAAGUCAAAUUCAUUCAUAAUAUGACAACGGACCCAAGGCAAUCUCCAACACUAGGAAAGAUAGAUGAUGCUUAAAAGAGGAAAGGAUACAACCACUCUAGCAUUAUCAUCAGAAAAGUCUAUUCCUUCUGAAACCUGCAAGUACAACAAAGCAAUUUAGGAUAUGUAAAUCACAUUAUAACAUCAAUUCAUGGAUCUUUUUAUUUUAAGAUCUAAUUAGAUAUUUAAACGUCUUAGUUUAAUUUUCAAGAACCAAGCUGAGGGUCAUACUGAAACUGGCGACUUCUUCUUAUUGAAGAUCAUUGCUAAAUGAAGUUCUUACAUAUUUCUUAACAAGAGGAAAAGAAAAGAAAAACAUAUGAUGCGUGCAAAACUGCAAGCUGCAUAUAAACAUUCGUAGUUGUUUUGAGCCGUCAGGACAACAAGGUUUAUCAUUGCCAUUAAGAAACAUGGAAAAGCGGUUGAACAUCAAGUAAUCAAAAGGAACACACCUUUCCUCGAAAAACUGCAAGGAGUGCUGCACCCUCCUUGGGAUUUUCACAGCCAACCACAUACGAGUCAUUGGGUUUGACCUUCUUGCCUCGACUCUUUUUCCCAAUUGCAAAGUUAUCACCAAGACGUAUAGUAUCAUAAUAACCUUUCAAUAUGGAAUCAAAAUCCUCUUGAGCUCCUCCUCUUGGCUCUGUACAAAACCAUUGAAAAGAUUUGAAUUCUUAAUGCAACAUGCAGAAAGAAAAAGAAAAAUUAAUAAAUAUAGGUACGCAAGAAACAUUAUAUAAUUCAACUCGUCUCGAAUGACAAAAUACCAGCAAAAUAUAUAUACACUAGCCUAAAAUAAGUUUUCCAGUGCGUAUCUUACCAACAAAAAGGGACUUCCUUGCAUUCAGUCGAGACCAUUGGCCAGUUUCAGACCAACGAUUUUGGAGUUUCUCCAUCAGCUUAUAACUGGGGAAGAACACAAGACAGCCACCAGGAGCGAUGAAAAAUAUCUCCUCUAAUGAUUUUCCUAGAGCAUCCUUUAAGAAAAUGGCCAGUAUAAGACAAGAAAAACCUAACAUAUAAAUUUACAUCGAUCACGAAGUUCCAAAAAUACCUGGAAUGCAUAUCCAUCAGCUGUUUUAUAACUUCCAUUCAGCGGAUAGUUUCCUGGACCAGUUGAUAUAACAGCUGGCCACACCUGCAGUACAAUUGUUGAUAGGUCAAAAUUUAACAGUUGCUGGAAUGGAAAAACCAGAAAUAAGAAAAGUCCACUUGAACCUGAGAUUCCACAUCAAUCACGUGAGGAGCUUCCAGUGAAGUUCCAAACUGAACUCCUAGUUCAGAUGAAAAGGAAUUCAUCGGUGACAGGGUCCUAAUUAUUUGAAAUCAGAAAUGAUUAAUUGUCUUCUUCGGCACAUAUAUAAUAUACCUUACCAAAAGAAAAUGUAGGAAAGAGAGAAAGCACUGUAAAAUUUAAAGAAGCAUCUAAAUUUUCAUACUUUCAAGCGUCAACUCAAUAUAGUCUAGAAAUCUGCUAAACAACCAACUUAUAGUCAAUCUAACAACUCUAAUCAUUGAGAAACUGCAGGUUUUAUUCUUCCAAAAGAAGAGGAUAUGUUAAAAUUGAAUUUAACAUGGCUGAAGAGCAUGGCUGUAGAAGCCAAGAAUGAAGAUAUUUUAUAGACUGCAUAAACUAUAUGAUACAUCAUAUUCCACUUUUCAAGUUUAUGUGCUCACCCAGAUGUCAAAAUAACCGAUAAGGAAAGAUCACUAAUGUCUCUAAAUACAACAGCUGGAUUCAAGCACCACAAACUUAAAGUAACCGUCCAUUCAGCAUAAGCUUUUCCUGAAAUAAAAUACAAAUAUAAUUUUGUAAAAAAAAAUUGUUUGUACAAAUAAACAAAAAAAAAAAAACUAAAACCAUUUCAAACUAAAAAAAAGGUGACAAGAGUUUUCUUUCUUAUUCUCAAGGUAUAAGAUCCAGUGAAAACUGUCUUCUCUUGAAAAGCCUAAUAGCAAGUCAGUUAUAGUCUCCAGAUAACAUCAGACAAACUAAUUAAAAAAAGGUAACAGAACUAUAACCAAUGGCUGAAAGUUAUGACAAGCUGUGAAUUAAGAAGACUGAGCAACUGAUUACCAGGAUCUCUUUUAAUGUAGCGUUGUAAUGCAAGCUGGUAGUCAGACAUGUGGCAACCAUUUCUUGAGAAGAAAUAUGUCAGUGAAGAGAAUAAUCCUGCAUCGUAUAAAUUGGUCAACGUCGAAAGUUUGAUAUAAAAAUAAAGCAAAUGUUGCACAUAGUAGUCUCUUACCUUCCAGUGUUAUCACUGACAGGCCACUCAAAUGUGCAUCAUCUGACUCGGUAUCUGAAGCUGCUUUAAUAGCCUUAAACAAGCAUACAGUGAAACUUCAAGGUAAUGAGAAUAAAAUGAAAGGUCCCCCAAAUAAUUCAAAGAACCCAACAGAAUCAGGAUACCUUUGUUGCACAUUCGAGCAAAAUGGGGAAGCAUUGUUGAGUUAUAUUAGCUUCUUGGAGCUCCCUUUGAGCAUGAUUUCCAGUCCAACUACAACAUUCAUAAACGUAGAAAUGGAAUAUCUCAUAGACCUAUGUUGUCAAACUGAUACCAACUACUAGAGAGGUCGAAUGCACCAUUUUUAGAAAAGAGUAAGUCAGACAUGCAUGUUUAUUGAAGGGCUCAAAGUGUGAAAAGAAACACAUUUAAUCUGAAAUCUAUACCCAAAAUGUUUUAAAUGCACAAUCUACACCAAGAAAUUCAGUUUAAAUCAAUUUCGUCCAUGGAUCAAAGAAUCUUGAAUGAGAAAAAGUGAAUUAUAUGAUAUUAUGUUCUAAAUACACCAAUAUAAUGCAAAGAAAAACUAUAUGCAACUAAGAAAUCAAAUGCUACAGCAAAACCAGUAAGAUUUUCUUUCUUCACUCACCAGGUGACAUAAUGCUGAAACUCGCGCUUUUGCAAUGUGGUCUUCCUCUGGUCAAUCCAACUUGUGAGAUCCUAAAAGUUCAGUUAGACUUCUAAAUAUCAAAAGAUCUUCUGAGAUGUUUGCAAAUAAUUCUAAUUAAUUAUACUAAUUACCUGUGUCAUUUCAUACAGAGGCUGGUAAACCAAAGAAUCAAUAGGACAUAGGUCCUCCAACUCCAUCUGCAAUUCUUUGAAAGAUGUGAAAUGCAAGCCAUGAGAAAAUAUUUUUCUCAACUCAUCAAACAAAAUAGUAUAAUUUCAGUGACUUACUAUUUAAAGUAUCCUCUUCAAUAUCCACACUACCACCAUGACGUGCAAUAUCCUCUAUAUUGCUGAAAAGUGAAAACAGAAUAAACUAAUUAAUUGUCUGCAUUUGCCACCUAUCUCAUGAACUUACCAUCAAACUGAGGUAAAAGGAAACACAUAAUGUAUGGAUGCUAGUACACAUACUGGGCUUCAUCAAAGAUCACGAUUGCACCCUUAAUAUCUACAUCCAUUGCUCCUCGAAUAACUGGAUUGAUAAUAUAGCUAUAUGGGCAAAACACCAGCUGCGCGUCGUCUGCCAUAGAGCGAGCUGCAUAAUAUGAACAACCUAAAGAGGAUAAAGAAAUUAAGUUAAAUAAGUGAUGACAACAUAAGACAGGUUAAACACCUAAAAGAUCAAGGAUUAACCUUUUACAGCUUCUCCAACUUUCACCAAAUCUUCAAUGUCAUGAACCUCAUGACAUCCUCCUUUCUGAAGAGUUGGAUGACAUUUAACCUUGUUUGCGUUUCUUUUAGAGAAAUGAAAAGUAUUUAUCUUCCUUUGUUGAUCGCCUUAAGUCAAGUAAUAAUUGAGAGAAAUAAAUUGAUGAAGAAAUGGGAUAAAGAUAACUCACUUAAAUUCACUGCAUCCUGCAAUUUGAUCCUUCAAAAGUAGUUUGCUGGUAGAGUACAACAAAUUUUACAGUGAAAAGGAGAAUAUAAAAUGAAUUAACUGGAAAAAGACAAAGAAAGAAAGAAAAAGGUGCCUUUAAGAGAAAUAUGCACCAUUCUUCAUCCAAAUUAUCUUUUCCUCGUACAUAAGGAUUUGUGCAUAGAUGUUUCCUUGAUGCCUGAUGAUAAGAAGGGGGUUAGUAAGAUAACAGUAAAGUAUAACCUAACAAGGACCACCCAGAAAUGUAUUGCAGCUGAACCAUAUCUGACAGGAGAGGAAGUCAGGGGAUUCUUACAACCCAAAACCAGCUAAUUCAACUUCUCAAAUUUCUUCAAUGCAUAAUCUCAUACAAUAUGUACACACACACACGUGUUAAAGCGGUGACAUACCAACACUGCCAUUGGCACUCGAUAGGCAGUUUUCCUAUACUCACGAAUCACCUGUGAUAUCUGUGAAUGUGUCCUCCUUGAAUAAGAAAACGUAAAGCAUUAGCAUCAAAUGUAGAUGACAAAAAUAAUUUUCCAAGCCCUUGUUUCAAAUUGCAGUAAGUUGAACUUACGAGGCGUAGUAUAUAGUCGGGGCUGUUUUUUUCUUCUGACUUUUGUUGUUUGGCCCUGGAAGAGACGACUCAGUAUCUGUAGACAGUAGAAAACCCAACAUAUUCCUCAGAAGAAGUAACUGGCCCAUAAAACACAAAAAGCAUAAAAAAUCAAAUAUAUGUUAUAAGAAAGAAAGAAAAAAGUGAGUAAGGUUAAUCUAUUGUCAGCUGAGGUUCUUCCAUCAGAAGAAAUUUCAGUACAAAUGACAAAGAGCCCCAUGUAAAAGAAAAGCUUCCGAUCAUCCGCAUUUCACAAUGGCUAUUUUUCAGUAAUCGUUUAAAAGAUGAUAUUCCAUGGUAAAUAGAAGAAAAACAAUUUGUUCCAACCUUAGUGUGCCCACGUAUUAUUUCACUCUUUCUCAACGUUAUCCGUCCAUAAAAAGAAAAGGCAAAAAGAAAAAACCAACCAUCCCAAGAUCAAUUAACCGUCCAAAGAGGUAGCGAUUUUAAGAUACUUAACACUUUUUGUUGCAAGCGAUGCGCAACGAAAUAUAUGUCGUCCUAAGCUAUUGCCCUAAAUAUAAUAUCCUCACGGUAUAAGCCUGAAGAGCUCGCAAGGGGAACCCAGUAACACAAAAAUAAAAAUGUCCAUGAACUUUAAACCAAUCUUUUCUAUGUCUCUACCUGACCACUCAAUUGAAUUCGUGCAUUCGAGAUGUUCGGAUAAUCAGGGUAAAGACAUGCAAACUUACUUGGCGUCUGCACUUCGGGAAUGAAUCCACCGCCAAAACCGAGAGGAUCUGUGGCAGCCUCUGGAGCAGCCUUCGUGUGACAGGGAUUAGCAUCCGGAUUCUUUAUCUUGUAAUUCUUCUGCCAAGCAAGACUAGAGCAGAGAAGUGAAAGUGACUUCCCGGUUCCAGUCGGAGAUUCCAGCAACGCGUGGCAAUGGCCCUCUCGCUGAGCUCGAUCAAGGGUGGAUAUAACUCUGCCCAUGAACGCAAGCUGCGAACCGUAUGGUCGGAAUGGAAAUUCCACUUGGAUGCCACCAAUCGGGUAAACAUUCUUCGUGAGCUGAUAAGUUGGAUUGGGCUUGGAUUUGGGGUUCGUCCCCCCUUUUGCAUAUACCAUUUUGGCAGUGUUGCACAGGACUUGCCGGGUGGGAAUAUUCGAACUCCUUGAGAGCUACCUAGCUUGGUAAACUACACGAUCGACGAUGGAGUUCUGUGAUGGGUUCGAUUUGGUGGUGGUUUCUUGGAAAGCUUUGGCGGGAAAAGUUAGGGUUUAUCGUACUUGAAAUUGGCGGUAAACAGUAUAAUUGGUUCACCUUGCAAUGAACGGUGAGGCUCUUGUUUGAAAAGACUCUUCUGUCCUUUGUGGCCAACGUCCGUAAAGGUUACCGUUUAGGCCGAAUUGAAAUCGUUUCUUUCUUUUUCUUUGGUAAUGCAACCGAUGAUUUGGUACCAUUUUUAAGAUAAUUAAUAUUUGGAAACAUUCUAUUUAAAAUAGUAAAAUAAAUUAAAAUAUUUACAAAUUAUCGGAAAAUUUUAGAUUUUAUUGGAUAAAAUUCGUUAUAGAUUAUAAAUAUUUUUUAAAAAAAUUAAAUAUUUAAUUAAGAUAUAUCUUUUAAUGUCUUAUUUUCAAUUAUACCUGUAAGCAAUCCAAUUUUCAAUCGAGUUUUUUCCUCCAUGAGGAGAAUAUCUCAAUUUUCUCGAUUUCAAUAAAAUUUAUAGAAAAAAUUGAUAGUUUAAGAAAUAGUACCAAAUUACUAUUUUUAUUUGAUGUGCUUGCAUUGACAUUUACACAUGUAUUUUGGGUAUAACAUAUAAGACUACUUUAUCGAUUUGUAGUGAAAAUUGGAAUAAUAAUGAAAUUUCAUUAGUAAAUCAAUUCCAAUAAACGGUGAAUCACAAACACAAUUCAUUGUUUUGGAUUGCUUUUACCUAAAAAGAUGAGUUUUAUCAAAUUUAAUAUUACCAUUGUGGUUUAGGUUAUGUUAUAUGGUUAUACAAAUCAUAACAGAAACGGUACCAAAAAAGAUUAAUUAUAAUAUAUAGAGUAUAGCUUGUGACAAUAAUUAAAAAGAUGAUACCUUUCAAAUAAAUAUAAAGCUUAUUCUAAUUAUAAUCAACACUAUGAUCAGAAUUUAAAAGAAAAUACAUACAGAAAUAUUGAUUAAAAGAUCAUAACGUGAUUUAUUGUUUGACCAUAGGCAUGUAAAGGAAGAAAAUAACACAGAACCAAGGAAAAAUGUGGCUGAAAAGGGAUUUCAGCUCCUCCAUAGACUGUUCAAAGUUAUCAAAUUGUUUAAUCGAUUUUCAUAGCCACUUUGAAAUGUACGAGAGAGAUCAUGAAGCUAAACCCAAAACACUAAAUUCAAAAAAUUUCCAGUUUGAGAUCAACAAUCAUACUCUCGAUAAGGCAUGGAAAUUGUGUUAACAUUAUUGAUAGAGGGAAUCUACAAUGCUGUCCUAGCUAUAACAACAUGAUAGCAUGACAAAACAACCAUGCAGAAACUAUACAGAGGGAUUCACAACCCGGAAACAAAAGAUCGAGAUAAAUAUGCAGUUAACUUUACAAUAUUAGUACAAAUGAUCAUAGAUUAAGAGAUUUUUUCGUCCAGACGCACACCGACUCUUCUACCUUAGCUGCAUUCUUUGAAUGGUGAGUUUGACCGAUAGAAAUUGCCAGAUCUCCCAUUAUAUCAUCAUGUAAACAUCCAGGCGAUCUUAUUAGCUUGGUCAGCAGCCCAGGACAGUGGUUAAAUUAAGCCAAGCAGAAUGCAUCUAGACGAGUACUUCAUGAAGUUCCUUUCCUUCUGACUUUCAAUUUAGUAGACCUCCAGCCGCCUGAGGUAAGUGGGCUAGCGGAGUAAGAAAACUUUUAAAUGGGUUCCAUGACAGGCAUACUUAUUCUUAGUUGAGCUACUAGCGGAUGAUACUUCCUGCAAUAAAAUUUGGAAAUCAAAGACAGCUAUCAUACUGAUUUUAGUUCAUGCCACAGUAACUAGUUAAUUAACCUUAAUUUCUCAUUAUAUCACAAUCGUUUACCUUGUUUAAUCAAGCCUUUCCUGUAGCAGCUUGGAGCUGAGGUCUUGGAGCCGAGGUCUUGGAGCUGAGGUCUUGGAUCUCCAAACACCCCACGAAAAACAUCACCUGCAAAAUGAGGAGACGAGAAAUGUAACCAAAAAGAAGUUGUGGAUAAAACUGUCGUGAUAAAGUAUGAGAUGUUGAAAAUAAAAAAAAAAAAUCCAUAUUCAUCUUCUUGAAAUAUUAGAACUGAAUAACAUGUACCUUAUAAAGUAACGGUAUAUUUGAUGCAUUAGUUGCCAUGAUCUGUACACCAAUACAAUUGUCACUGAAACAGAAGGGGCAAAAGACUUAAUUGUAUACACAACCAUCCUCCUCACUCCAUAUACCACAUGCUGAAUUUUUCGAAGACCUAACUAGGAGUCUCUGGUUAAUAAACAAGAUGUCUGUAAUAAUAAGCUGUAUACUUGCAGACGAAUUGGCAGUUUGAGCUUUAAACCUUUCCUUAUAUAUCGAUAUUAAGUGUGUUUUUGAUGAUACAGUAAAUGAGCACGUUAUGUUUAAGUGGUUCUCUGGGCGACCGAGUGGGUUUCUACAAAGUGCACAAGAUAGAUGCAACUUUUUGUCCUUCGAAGGCCAGGUGACAGAAAAACAGGAACAGUAUCAUUUAGCUUGGGCACUUGUGUGACAUUUAAACUGUUAAACUUCUUCUGUGAGAAGGAUUUCAUCACUAGUAUCUUUUGGGCUAGUCAAAUUUCCACUGAUUGCUGAGCUUCUGUCCACACUGUUACAUUCGUGAUUUUUGGUUUUGGGAUCAGUAACAAACUCUUCUUGAGAAAUAUCAACUGUACAGUUUUUCACAUCUUGGUGACCCUGAAAUAAAGCUUGUCGUCAAUACCAACUAGAGAUUUCGAUUGAAAAAAACAGGUAUUGUACUUCAUUAUUUUAGUACUAGCCUUCUGCCCACGAUAAUUAAACUUGUCAAAUUCCUCUAUCUUCGUUCUUCUACAACUACUUGGGCAGGUAGAAGUAAUAUGCUCCUCAUUCACAGAUUUUGGCAACUCACUUUCUGUCUUGUUGCUAAUGCGCUCCUAAAAUGAAACCCAACAAUAAUGUACCGUGAUUUAUUGCCUGACCAUAAGUAUGUAAAGGAAGAAAUUAACACAGAAGAAGCAAGGACAAUAUGUUCCAGACCUUAAUGUGGCUGAAAAAGGAUUUCAGCUCCUCCAUAGACUGUUCAAAGUUAUCAAAUUGUUUAAUGGAUUUUCUUAGCCACUUUGAAAUGUAAGUCCUGUUCCUCUCUUCCUGGAAACGCUCAUCUAUUUGCCCAAAACGAAAGAAAGGGUGAAAAGCUGUGGGAGAUUUGUGCAUUAAAUAACCUCAUGACUCUACCAUGGAAAAUACUCUUUUAAGAAUGACAAGGAAAUUUUAGAUUUAUCGACAUGAAUAUAGGAAAUACAAUAAUGAAACCAUAGAACUAGCUAAAAUGUUGUGGCCAAGGAAUGGCAGGUUCCAAGCAAGUUUUGGAGGACUUAUGUACGAGUUAAAUAGCUUGAUUUACCCAGCACAAACAAUCUUAUAGUUAAUAGGCAAUGGAACAAGUUAAAUUAAGGCAAUUAUUACCUAAUAGCACAAUGGCACCAUAGUCAAAUUUGUGUCGAAUACAUCGUCCUACACAAAGAAAUUGUUACAAAUUAUAGCAAGGUUAUUUGCAUGAUGCCACUCCACAUGAGCAACCAAGAAAAUGAAAAUAAAUGACAACAGCUACAAGCAAUACCUGCAGCUUGAUUUAGAGCUCGAAAGGCUUGUUGACAAUACCACUCAUUUCCACUUAAAAGGUUUUUGGACAUUUUAUAUUUGUCAUUGAACUUUUUCUUCAAUGCAACUUGAAUACCAUUUCUGAAAAGAAUUAUAAAUAAAUAAUCAAAAUAUUGUAUGGUAUAUUUUUUUUCCCCAAAAGUAAAGUAAGGAUAAAGUUCUUACAUAUCUGGAAAUGGAAUACCAACUAUUAUCUGAAUAUGUUCGUUAAGAAUUUCUCUAAAUAAAUAUUAAAUGUUCAACCUUACUGACACUGACUUCAUGACUUACAAGGCCAAUUCAUUCAUAUUAUGACAAUGGGCCUAAGGCAAUCCCCAACACAAGGAAAGGUAGAUGAUGCAUAAAAGAGGGAAGGAUACAACCACUCUAGCAUUAUCAUCAGAAAAGUCUAUUCCUUCUGAAACCUGCAAGCAAAACAAAGCAAUUUAGGAUAUGCAGAUCAUAUUAUAAAAUCAAUUUAUGGAUCUUUUUAUUUUAAGAUCUUAUUAGAUCAUUAAAUGUCUUUUUUUUUCAAGAACCAAGCUGAGAGUCAUACUGAAAUUGGCAACUUCCACCUAUUGAAUAAUUGUUAAAUGAAGUUCUUACAUAUUUCUUAACAAGAGGAAAAGAAAAGAAAAACAUAUGAUGCGUGCAAAACUGGAAGCUUCAUAUAAACAUUCAUAGUUGUUUUGUGCCGUCAGGACAACAAGGUUUUAUCAUUGCCAUUAAGAAACAUGGAAAAGUAGUUGAACUUCAAGUAAUCAAAACGAACACACCUUUCCUCGAAAAACUGCAAGGAGUGCUGCACCCUUGGGAUUUUCACAGCCAAAAACAUACGAUUCAUCGGGUUUGACCUUCUUCCCAACUGCAAAGUUAUCACCAAGACGUAUAGUAUCAUAAUAACCUUUCAAUAUGGAAUCAAAAUCUUCUUGAGCUCCUCCACAUGGCUCUGUACAAAACCAUUAAAAAGAUUUGAAUUCUUAAUGCAACACGUAGAGAAAAAAAGAAAAAUUAAUAAAUAUAGGUAUGCAAGAAACAUUAUAGAAUUCAACUCAUCUUGAAUGACAAAAUACCAACAAAAUAUAUAUACACUAGCCUAAAUAAGUUUUCCAGUGCGUAUCUUACCAACAAAAAGGGACUUCCUUGCAUUCAGUCGAGACCAUUGACCAGUUUCAGACCAACGAUUUCGGAGUUUCUCCAUCAGCUUAUAACUGGGGAAGAACACAAGACAGCCACCAGGAGCGAUGAAAAAUAUCUCCUCUAAUGAUUUUCCUAGAGCAUCCUUUAAGAAAAUGGCCAGUAUAAGACAAGAAAACCUAACAUAUAAGUUUAAAUCGAUUAUGAAGUUCCAAAAAUACCUGGAAUGCAUAUCCAUCAGCUGUUUUAUAACUUGCAUUCAGCGGAUAGUUUCCUGGACCAAUUGAUAUAAUAGCUGGCCACACCUGCAGUACAAUUGUUGAUAUAUAGGUCAAAAUUUAACAGUUGCUGGAAUGGAAAAACUAGAAAGUAAGAAAAGUCCAUUUGUACCUGAGAUUCCACAUCAAUCACGUGAGGAGCUUCCAGUGAAGUUCCAAACCGAACUCCUAGUUCAGAUGAAAAGGAAUUCAACGGUGACAGGGUCCUAAUUAUUUGAAAUCAGAAAUGAUUAAUUGUCUUCUUAGGCACAUAUAUAAUAUACCUUACCAAAAGAAAAUGUAGGAGAGAGAGAAAGCACUGUAAAAUUUAAAGAAGCAUCUCAAUUUUCAUACUUUCAAGCGUCAACUCAAUAUAGUCUAGAAAACUGCUAAAUAACUGACUUAUAGUCAAUCUAACAACUCUCAUCAUUGAGAACCUGCAGGUCAUAUUCUUCCAGAAGAAAGGAGAAUAUGUUAAAAUUGAAUUUAACAUGGCUGUAGAAGCCAAGAAUGAAGAUAUUUUAUAGACUGCAUAAACUAUAUGAUACAUCAUAUUCCACUUUUCAAGUUUUAUGUGCUCACCCAGAUGUCAAAAUAACCGAUAAGGAAAGAUCACCAAUGUCUCUAAAUACAACAGCUGGAUUCAAGCACCACAAACUUAAAGUAACCGUCCAUUUAGCACAAGCUUUUUCUGAAAUAAAAUAUAAACAUAACUUUUAUAAAAACUAUAUAUGUAAAAACAAACAAAAAAAAUUAAACUAUUUCAAACUAAAAAAAAGGCGGCUGAAAGUUAUGGUGGGCAGUGAAUUAAGAAGACUAAGCAACUGAUUACCAGGAUCUCUUUUAGUGUAGCGUUGUAAUGCAAGCUGGUAGUCAGACAUGUGGCAACCAUUUCUUGAGAAGAAAUAUGUCAAAGAAGAGAAUAAUCCUGCAUUGUAUAAAUUGGUCAAUGUUAAAAGUUUGGUAUAAAAACAAAGCAAAUGUUGCACACGGUAGUCUCUUACCUUCCAGUGUUAACACUGACAGACCACUCAAAUGUGCAUCAUCUGACACCGUAUAUGAAGCUGCUUUAGUAGCCUUAAACAAGCAUAUGGUGAAACUUUAAGAUAAUGAGAGCAAAAAGAAAGGUCCCUCACAUAACUCAAAGAACCCAACCGAAUCAGGAUACCUUUGUUGCACAUUCGAGUAAAAUGGGGAAGCAUUGUUGAGUUAUAUUAGCUUCUUGGAGCUCCCUUUGAGCAUGAUUGCCAGUCCAACUACAACAUUAAUAAACGUAGAAUAGGAUAUCUCAUAGACGGAUGUUGUCAAACUGAUAUCAACCACUAGAGAGGUCGAAUGCACCAUUUUUAGAAAAGAAUAAGUCAGAAUGCAUGUUUAUUGAAGGACUCAAAGUGUGAAAAGAAACACAUUUAAUCUGAAAUCUAUACCCAAAAUGUUUUAAAUGAUAAUCUACAUCAAGAAAAUCAGUUUAAAUCAAUUUCUUCCUUGGAUCUAAGAAUUUGGAAUAAGAAAAAGUGAAUUAUAUGAUAUUAUGUUUUAAAUACACCAAUAUGAUGCAAAGAAAAACUAUAUGCAACUAAGAAAUUAAAUGCUACAGCAAAACCUGUAAAAUUUUCUUUCUUAACUCACCAGGUGACAUAAUGCUGAAACUCGCGCUCCUGCAAUGUGGUCUUCCUUCGGUCAAUCCAACUUUUGAGAUCCUAAAAGUUCAGUUAGACUUCUAAAUAUCAAAAGAUCUUUUGAGAUGUUUGCAAAUAAUUAUAAGUAAUUAUACUAAUUACCUGUGUCAUUUCAUACAGAGGCUGGUAAACCAAAUAAUUAAUAAAACAUAGUUGCUCUAACUCCAUCUGCAAUUCUUUGAUAGAUGUGAAAUGCAAGCCAUGAGAUAUUGUUUUUCUCAACUCGUCAAACAAAAUAGUAUGAUUUCAUUGACCUACUAUUUAAAGUAUCCUCUUCAAUAUCGACACUACCACCAUGACGUGCAAUAUCCUCUAUAUUGCUGAAAAGUGAAAACAGAAUAAACUAAUUAAAUGUCUGCACAUGCUACCCAUCUCAUGAACUUACCAUCAAACUAAAGUAAAAGAAAACAUGUAAUGUAUGGAUGCUAGUACACAUACUGGGCUUCAUCAAAGAUCACAAUCGCAUCCUUAACAUCUACACCAAUUGCUCUUCGUAUAACUGGAUUGAUAAUAUAGCUAUAUGGGCAAAACACCAGCUGUGCGUUGUAUGCCAUAGAGCGAGCUGCAUAAUAUGAACAACCUAAAGAGGAUAAAGAAAUUAAGUUAAAUAUGUGAUGACAACAUGAGACAUGUUAAACACCUAAAAGAUCAAGGAUUAACCUUUUACAGCUUCUCCAGUUUUCACCAAAUCUUGAAUGUCAUGAACCUCAUGACGUCCUCCUUUCUGAAGAGUUGGAUGACAUUUAACCUUGUUUCCGUUUCUUUUAGAGAAAUGAAAAGUAUUUAUCUUCCUUUGUUGAUUAAUUUAAGUUAAGUAAUAAUUGAGAGAAAUAAAUUGAUGAAGAAAUGGGAUAAAGAUAACUCACUUAAAUUCACUGCAUCCUGCAUCUUGAUCCUUCAAAAGUAGUUUGCUGGUAGAUUACAACAAAUAUUACAUUGGAAAGGAGAAUAUCAAAUGAAUUAACUGGAAAAAGCAAACAAAGAAAGAAAAGAUGCCUUUGAGAGAAAUAUGCACCAUUUUUCAUCUAAAUUAUCUUUCCCUCGUACACGAGGAUUUGUGCAUAGAUGUUUCCUUGACGCCUGAUGAUAAAAAGGGGUUAGUAAGACAACAGUCCAGUAUAACCUAACAAGAACCACCCAGAAAUGUAUUGCAGUUAAACCAUAUCUGACAGGAGAGGAAGCCAGUGGAUUCUUACAACCAAAGUCAGCUAAUUCAAGUUCUCAAAUUCCUUCAAUGCAUAAUCUCAUACAAUACGUACACACGCACACACGUGUUAAAGAGGUGACAUACCAACACUGCCAUUGGCACUCGAUAGGCAGUUUUCCUAUACUCACGGAUCACCUGUGAUAUCUGUGAAUGUGUCCUCCUUGAAUAAAGAAAAUGUAUAGCAUUAGCAUCAAAUGUAAAUGAGAAAGACGAUUUGAAAAGAAAAAAAUCCAAGCCCUUGUUUCAAAGUCCAGUAAGUUGGAACUAACGAGGAGUAGUAAAUGGUCGGGGCUGUUUUUUUCUUCCGAAUUUUGUUGUUUGGCCCUGGAAGAGAUGACUCUGUAUCUGUAGACACUAGAGAACCCUUAAUAUUCCUCAGAAGAAGUUACUGGUCCAUAAAACACAAAGCAUAAAAAAGCAAAUACGUAUAUAUAUUUAAAUUUUUUUUUUAAAAAAAAAGUGAGCAAUGUUACUUUAUUGUUAGCUGACGUCCUUCCAUCAGUAGAAAUUUCAGUACAAAUGAGAAAGAGCCGCAUGUAAAACAAAAGCUUGCCAUCAUCCGCAUUCCACAAUAGCUAUUUUUCAUUAAGCGUUUGAAAGAUGAUAUUCCAUAGUGAAUAGAAGAAAAACAAUUUGUUCCAACCUCUGGGUGCCCACGUAUUAUUUCACUCUAUCUCAACGUUAUUCGUCCAUAAAAAGAAAAAAGAAAAAACCAACCAUCUUCAGAUCAAAUUAACCGUCGAAAAAGUUAACAGUUCAAGAUACUUGACAGUUUUUGUUGCAAGCUAUGCGCAACGAAAAUAUAUGUCGUCCAAAGCUACCCUAAAUACAUCCUCACGAUAAACAGUAAACCAUAAACCAAUUUUUUCUACGUCUCUACCUGACCACCUAAUCGAAUUCGUGCGUUCGAUAUGUUCGGAUGAACAGGGUAAGGACAUGCACACUUACUUGACGGCUGCACUUCGGGAAUAAAUCCACCGCCAAAACCGAGAGGAUUCGUGGCAGCCUCUGGAGCAGGCCUCGUGUGACAGAAAUUAGCAUCCUGAUUCUUUAUCUUGAAAUUCUUCUGCCAAGCAAGACUAGAGCAGAGAAGUGAAAGUGACUUCCCGGUUCCAGUCGGAGAUUCCAGCAACGCGUGGCAAUGGCCCUCUCGCUGAGCUCGAUCAAGGGUGGAUAUAACUCUGUCCAUGAACUCCAGCUGCGAACCGUAUGGUCGGAAUGGAAAUUCCACUUGGACGCCACCAAUCCGGUACACAUUCUUCUUAAGCCGAUAAGUUCGGUUGGGCUUGGAUUUAGGCUUCCUCCCCCCUUUUGCAUAGACCAUUUUGGCAGUAUUACACAGAACUUUUCGAGUGGGGUUAUUCGAACUCAUUUUGAGCUACCUAGCUUGGGGAACUACACGAUCGACAGUGGAGUUGUGUGCUCGGUUCGAUUUGAUGGUGGUGGUUUCUUGAAAAGCUUUGGCGGGAAAGGUGAGGGCUUAUCGUACUUGAAAUUGGCGGUAGACAGUAUAAUUAGUUCAUCUUGCAAUGAACGGUGAGGCUCUUGUUUGAAAAGACUCUUCUGUCCUUUGUGGCCAACGGCCGUAAAGGUUACCGUUUAGGCCGAAUUGAAAUCGAUAUUUUUUAAUAUCGAUACUUUCAUAAUAUUCACCUAAAAAAUAGCAAAUUAAAUUAAAAUAUUUACCGGCUACAACAAAAAAAAUUAUUAUGUUGGUGAUAGUCUUCUAUUACUAUAGCAUAUUAAUGACUAUCGAUGAUAUAAUUUGUUAUCGUUUGUAAAUAUUUUGUAAAAUCUACUUAUUUUUUUAAAAAGAAAUUAAAAGAUAUUCGAUUUUAUAUUAUUAUUCCAUUUUUUUAAUGGGCGUGCUUGACAUUUACACAUGCAAUUAUAAGAUAAUUGUGAUAGAAAAUUGGUAUAAUCGUAAUAAAAAUUCAUUGGUAAAUCAAUCAUAGUCAAUUAUAAUCAUAAAUGAAGUUAUAUUUAUUAAUUUGACCGUGUUUAUCUAAAAAUAUGAACUUUGUCAAUUUUAAUACUACCAUUGUGGUUUGGGUCAUAGUUAACCCAAACUAUAUCGAAAGCGAUGUUAAUAAACAAAAAAAUUUAUCUUGAAAUGUAAUGAUAGUGGUAAUCAUAAACUCAAAUCAUAACAAUAACAGUAAUGAUAAUAGUAUGACGUAAUUUUUCGAACGCAAUUGAAUUAAUCACUGUUUGUUUAUCAACUAGGUUGCAACUUUUGCUUACAAAUUUGGAUGAACCUCGUGUGUUAGUACACGUGCAUAACAUAAGUAAACAACACCAUACGUAAUUACAUGAGACUCACCUUUUAAUUUUAUCAUUCAUUUGUUUCCAUUGGAUUGGGUAAACGUGGCCUAUACGUGGUUUUACUUUAUAAAAACCAUGAUUACGAAUGAUUGAAUGAAGUUUUGUCAACGUGUUAUAACAAAUUUUAUCCAAACUCUAUACUAAUAUUGAUAUUUCUAUCAAAUUGGAGCCUUGGUUUUUUAACCUUAAUUAUACACUUUACAACUUUGCAGUUAGGUAUUGCUGUUAGUUUUAUCUUAGUCUCCUUUUCGUCUUCUCCAUCCCUUCGAGACCUUCCUGCUUUUAUUUGAUUCUUACAGUUGAGUUAAAUUUAGCUUCAAAUGUUGUUGUGUUAAUUAAGAGUAGUAUGAGACAUUUUAUUUUUGUUAAAAUUGUAACUAGGUCGAUUCAAACAUCAACAAAUUUCUUACUUGUAUAUAUAUAAUUUUGUUUCACCGUUCACAUAUAUCAACUAAUUGAAGUUAUAAGUUAUAACAUCCAUACUAUGUACUAAUAAAAAAACAAGUGGACACAUGUAUAUAAAUAUUUCAUAUCUAAAAGCAUAUAUGGACGAAUAUCAAAUAUCCAACCAAAACCCCAUAUACGUGAUAACACAUUCAUCACGUAAGCCUAUUAACAAUACACUUCUAUAAUUGAUAAAAUGAUAUGAUCAAACUUAUGGGAAGCAAAGUCAAAUUGAAGUUAUGUAAUUGUUAGCAAUAAUCCAACUCUAUUUAAAUUGUGAGAGGACUAUUUAAAGUAUAUAUUUUUAUUAAAUUAUUUAAUUUUGUUAUUGUUGAUCUAUUGUUUUCUAAUGUUUCGAAAAAUGAUCGUAGAUCGAAUAGAUACUAUAUCGAUUCCUAAAAUCCAUAUCUUAUUCUAUCUUGGUCAUGAACUUUUAGAAGUAUAUGUUUUGGUCAUUAACUCAUAAAAAUAACAUAUUUUGCUAUUUGUCGUUAAUACUCUAUUAAAUCUCUAAUAAAAUGGUGAAGUGACUUUUAUAUUUUAACGAUUAAAAUAUCAAAUAAAAUAAUUACUAAUAAUUAAGGUUUAAACUUUUAGUCCGAUGCUAUAUGAUAAAAGGACGAUGAUCUGAUCGUCACCACCAUCAUGAGUCAUUUUCAUUAUACUUUACUUUUUCGAUUUAUAUGUUUGACAUAAGUUUUGUUAAUAUUUUAAAGGCUAAAGUCAUUUUCAUUAUUAUUUGUUUUUUUUGCUGAUCUAUUUUUUUUAUUAUUAUUUCGAAAAGUUAAUAUAAAUCGUAAAUUUGUUAAUAUAUUUACGAAUUUUGGUCGAUUCCGGUGAUAAACUUUAUUCAACGGCGGUACUGAACCCGCCGUCAUCACCGUUAAGCAGUUCACACCAGGCGAAAGUCCAAUCGUCGUUUUGCCUCACCUCCUUGAGCCACUCCUAUACUUAUCUAUCUGGCUUCCAGCGCCGAUAAAUCGAUACCUUCUAUGGCAUUCGGCGCUUCCCGGCGUCUUAUUCCCUAUCAACUCAGAGCCUGCUUUUUGGGGCUUAUUGCCAGUGGCAGGUAUCACUAUCCCUUAAUCCACUCGCCGUCGCCGGCUUUAUCAUACUUGUUUUCAACCCUAGAUGAACCAUCAAAUCUAUUUGAUGAUGGUCUUUCGGGUAAUGGGGAUCGAAAUCAACGCUGCAUAGACGAGCGAUUCGUUAUCAGUGAACUUUCUGAUCUUCUACUAGUUAAUCCUUAUGGUUCGGUUUAUAACACUCUCAAAGAGAAUUCCAUUGAGAAACAGAUGCCAGUUAGGGCAGUUGAUGGAUUCUUGCUUCCAGAAGAGAAAUUGCGAGGUGUUUUCCUUCAAAAACUGAAUGGUAAAACCGCAAUUGAGCAUGCAUUAGCUAAUACUGAUGUGAUUUUGAGUCAAGAUGUUGUCAGCAAAGUAUUAAACACUGGGAGUUUAGGUAGCGAAGCAAUGGUUACCUUCUUUUAUUGGGCUAUUAAACAGCCGUCGAUACCUAAAGAUGCUUCUAGUUACAACAUAAUUCUUAAAGCUUUAGGUAGAAGGGGUUUUUUUGACUCCAUGAUGGAUGUUUUGUACAACAUGACACGGGAGGGAGUGGAGGCUACAUUGGAAAUGGUCUCCAUUGUAGUAGACAGUCUGGUCAAGGGUCACCAAGUUUCUAAGGCACUUCAAUUUUUCAGAAACUUGAAAGAAAUUGGGUUGAAAUGUGAUACUGAAACCUUGAACAUUCUUCUACAAUGCAUGUGUCGACGAUCCCACGUUGGUGCUGCAAACUCCUUCUUUAAUUUAACCAAGGGGAAUAUCCCUUUCAAUGUCAUGACAUAUAACAUUGUAAUUGGUGGAUGGUCAAGAUACGGUAGGCACGGUGAAGUUGAGCAAAUGUUGAAAGCAAUGGAACUUGAUGGAUUUUCUCCAGACUGUCUGACCCACACCUAUCUUAUUGAGUGUCUUGGCAGAGCUAAUCAGAUUGAUGAUGCUGUCAAGAUUUUUGAUAAAAUGGAUGAAAACGGCUGUACACCAGAUGUUGAUGCUUACAAUGCAAUGAUCUCCAACUUUAUAUGUAUAGGUGAUUUUGAUCAAUGCCUGACCUAUUACGAGCGUAUGUUGAGCAACAGAUGUGAACCUGACAUGAACACCUAUUCGAAUUUGAUUACUGGCUUUCUCAAGGCCAAGAAAGUAGCCGAUGCACUAGAAAUGUUUGAUGAAAUGGUGGCAAGAAUAAUUCCCACUACGGGGGCAAUAACAUCCUUUAUUCAACUUAGCUGUAGUUAUGGUCCUCCACACGCAGCUAUGUUAAUCUACAAGAAAGCAAGAAAAGUUGGAUGUAGGAUAUCCAAGAAUGCAUACAAAUUGUUGCUAAUGCGGCUUUCUUUGUUUGGUAAAUUUGGCAUGCUAUUAAAUAUAUGGAAUGAGAUGCAAGAAAGUGGUUAUGAUCCUGAUGUGGAGACUUAUGAGCAUGCCAUUGACUGUCUCUGUAAAACAGGGCAGCUUGAAAAUGCUGUACUCGUCAUGGAGGAAUGUUUACGUCAGGGUUUCUUCCCAAGUAGGCGAACACGUAGUAAGCUUAAUAACAAACUAUUGGCCUGUAAUAGGACAGAGAUGGCAUAUAAACUCUGGUUGAAAAUCAAAGUUGCUCGUCAUCAGGAAAAUCUGCAAAGAUGUUGGCGUGCCAAGGGAUGGCAUUAUUGAACUUUCAGGUCAUAUCAAUUACAAACAUGUCUUUUU